UAUAGAGGGUGCGAGCGUUAAUCGGAAUUACUGGGCGUAAAGCGCGCGUAGGCGGCUUUGCAAGUCGGGUGUGAAAUCCCCAGGCUUAACCUGGGAACUGCAUUCGAGACUGCAUUGCUAGAGUAUGGGAGAGGGAAGUGGAAUUUCCGGUGUAGCGGUGAAAUGCGUAGAUAUCGGAAGGAACAUCAGUGGCGAAAGCGACUUCCUGGACCAAUACUGACGCUCAUGUGCGAAAGCGUGGGGAGCAAACAGG
RNAcentral lists this ribosomal RNA (253 nucleotides) under uncultured bacterium. RNAcentral describes it as "partial 16S ribosomal RNA". It matches the Rfam family "Bacterial small subunit ribosomal RNA", at positions 524 to 776 of the family's 1533-position model. The record is from RNAcentral.